RNAcentral lists this long non-coding RNA (264 nucleotides) under Phoenix dactylifera (date palm). RNAcentral's name for it is "long non-coding RNA (PDAC_LNC011208)". The record is from RNAcentral. Lineage: Eukaryota; Viridiplantae; Streptophyta; Magnoliopsida; Arecales; Arecaceae.
CAAAAGGUCAAAUUGGAAACAUUUGGAUGAAAUAGGGGGAGACUUCACUCUCAAAUUUGAAAAACUGAAAUUCAGCAACUUGAGCCCUUCUAAAACUAAUUUUAAGAUAAGUAUCAAUAGGCUCAUACUCAAUAUUUUGUAAUCAUCAAAAAGGGAGAGAUUGAGGAUGAUAGUGGUAUUUUGAUGAUUAAUACAAUGAUUAAGAGUAUGCUACAAGUUAAUUCGAUACAUCAUUAAUAAGUCUGUCACUCUCGAUACAUUAGU